Molecule: ribosomal RNA, 250 nt
Filed under: uncultured bacterium
Lineage: Bacteria
Description: partial 16S ribosomal RNA
Rfam family: Bacterial small subunit ribosomal RNA
Source: RNAcentral
UACGUAGGGUGCGAGCGUUAAUCGGAAUUACUGGGCGUAAAGCGUGCGCAGGCGGCCGUGCAAGACAGGUGUGAAAUCCCCGGGCUCAACCUGGGAACUGCACUUGUGACUGCACGGCUGGAGUGCGGCAGAGGGGGAUGGAAUUCCGCGUGUAGCAGUGAAAUGCGUAGAUAUGCGGAGGAACACCGAUGGCGAAGGCAGUCCCCUGGGCCUGUACUGACGCUCAUGCACGAAAGCGUGGGGAGCAAAC